GACGAACGCUGGCGGCGUGCUUAACACAUGCAAGUCGAACGGAAAGGCCCUGCUUUUGUGGGGUGCUCGAGUGGCGAACGGGUGAGUAACACGUGAGUAACCUGCCCUUGACUUUGGGAUAACUUCAGGAAACUGGGGCUAAUACCGGAUAGGAGCUCCUGCUGCAUGGUGGGGGUUGGAAAGUUUCGGCGGUUGGGGAUGGACUCGCGGCUUAUCAGCUUGUUGGUGGGGUAGUGGCUUACCAAGGCUUUGACGGGUAGCCGGCCUGAGAGGGUGACCGGCCACAUUGGGACUGAGAUACGGCCCAGACUCCUACGGGAGGCAGUAGUGGGGAAUAUUGCACAAUGGGCGGAAGCCUGAUGGAGCAACGCCGCGUGCGGGAUGACGGCCUUCGGGUUGUAAACCGCUUUCGCCUGUGACGAAGCGUGAGUGACGGUAAUGGGUAAAGAAGCACCGGCUAACUACGUG
This 468-nucleotide ribosomal RNA is filed under the name uncultured bacterium. RNAcentral's name for it is "partial 16S ribosomal RNA". It matches the Rfam family "Bacterial small subunit ribosomal RNA", at positions 28 to 507 of the family's 1533-position model. The record is from RNAcentral.